Molecule: long non-coding RNA, 1959 nt
Filed under: Hordeum vulgare
Lineage: Eukaryota; Viridiplantae; Streptophyta; Magnoliopsida; Poales; Poaceae
Description: long non-coding RNA (HVUL_LNC008485)
Source: RNAcentral
CCUCCCCUCCUCCCUCCCUCCACCGCGCGCUGCGCACCAGCAGCAGCGCGCCCCAAACCCUAGCGAGCGAGAGACCCAGCCCCACCCAUGGAGAGAUCCGCCCACUCCCUGCUGCUCCUGCUGCUCGCCGCGGGGCUCGUCGUCGCUCUGCUCCCGGCGGCGGCCGCCACCUUCGGGCCGCAGCCGGGGGCGCCGUGCGAGGCCGCGCUACUCGCGACGCAGGUGCAGCUCUUCUGCACCCCCGACGCACCGACCACGCUGUGCUGCGACCCCGUCGUCGCCGCCUUCGACCUCGGGGGCGGCGUGCCCUGCCUGUGCCGCGUCGCCGCCGAGCCGCAGCUGGUCAUGGCGGGGCUCAACGCUACCCACCUCCUCGCGCUGUACACCUCCUGCGGCGGCAUCCGUCCCGGAGGCGCCCACCUCGCCGCCGCCUGCCAAGGUACGCGCACCCUCACCGCCUCCUCCCCUCCCUCCCGGCCUCUCCCUCUCUGGACCAACCGAUUCGGCGUUCUCUUUCGUGUUCGACGGUUUCUCGAGUCGCCAGUGCUCUGGUUUUGGGUCUUGUGUUGCGUUGUACCAGAUCUGCCCGCGAGGUCGAUCGGGUUGUCGUCGUUUCCAUGGCGAGCAACCCGGCGGCGGCGCGCGCGCGGCGUCGGGUUCCCGUCGUUCCUCGUGGCGAGGAACCUCCCCGUGGCAUAGCUUCUUUACGGCGUCAUGAUGUUCCUGUUUUUCGCUUAGGUUCUACGUAGAAGAAUGCAUGUCGCACGCGCAAGUGUUUGUUUGGUCGAUUUUAGAUCUGUGACUUGUUUCCGAGUUUUUGCACGUAGAAAAAUCGUGUGCAUAACCCAUGGUCCAUUUUGUGAUGUAUGUAUACGAUUACUUGUGCAGAUGCGGAGGCCUUCCAGAAUUAGUUAUCAUGUUUUUGUUCUCCAGUUAAACUUCCGUUCGAGUUUAUUUUCCUGCUUCUAACAUCGAUAUAUAUAUAUAUAUGUAUACCAUCCGCUUCUAACUGCUUCUAACUGCGUCUAACUCCAGUUAAAUUAGUUAUCAUUGUGAGAGAGUUGAUGCCGUUUAACUGAUAUAUAUAUAUUUGGAUGUUCAUUCUGCUAGACGCACUUUCUUUUGACACUAUCCGGUAGUAAUAGCGAUCAUCGUCAUGCCCGCGGGUUCUUUUUAGUUGGAGGCGAUCAUCUCUGUUUAAUCGCCUGCUCCACAUCUCGUUCGCGAUAGUACUUGUUUCAAACCGUCAAGGAUGCAGCUCUGCUUCCUGCGGUGUUUUUUUGUCUCCGUUUGGUCAAAAUUGAAAACGCCUGCUAUUUGAUCGAUCAAAAGCUUCCCGUGCUUUUCGCUUUGCAGUGGCUUCUCUUUAUUUCGACUUAAUUAUCUGCAUGCAGUUUUCGUAGCUUUACUCCGUCGUGAAAAAAAAGGUUGGGUCAAAUGAAUCAAUCGCCUACGUAUUGGCAUGGCAGGGCAGUAGCAACAGACACACAGUAGCAGCUUUAACCGGAUCAGUCUAAUCUGGCCUGCCACUGUGCUUCUUUUCUUGUUGCGCACGUCACCACCUCCUUUUUUUUUUCCAGUUUCGAUUUCUUUUGUAAUGCGGAUGAACGGGUGGUAAUUAACUGUUGGUGUUGUUUUUUACUGUGGGUUUUGGACGCAGGACCCGCUCCCCCGGCCGCCGUCGUCAGCAGCCCCCCGCCACCAUCGUCAGCACCAGCGCGUACGAACAUCGGCAAGGCCGUCGCCGCCCAUGCGGCCGCCACCUUCGGGCCGCAGCCGGGGGCGCCGUGCGACCCCGCGCUCCUGGCGACGCAGGCCGCGCUCUUCUGCGCCCCCGACAUGGCCACCGCCCAGUGCUGCGAGCCCGUCGUCGCCGCCGUCGACCUCGGGGGCGGCGUCCCCUGCCUCUGCCGCGUCGCCGCCGAGCCGCCGCUGGUCAUGGCCGGCCUCAACGCCAGC